RNAcentral lists this ribosomal RNA (442 nucleotides) under uncultured bacterium. RNAcentral's name for it is "partial 16S ribosomal RNA". It matches the Rfam family "Bacterial small subunit ribosomal RNA", at positions 338 to 795 of the family's 1533-position model. The record is from RNAcentral.
CCUACGGGUGGCAGCAGUGGGGAAUAUUGGGCAAUGGGCGAAAGCCUGACCCAGCAACGCCGCGUGAAGGAAGAAGGCUUUCGGGUUGUAAACUUCUUUUGACAGGGAAGAGCAGAAGACGGUACCUGUCGAAUAAGCCACGGCUAACUACGUGCCAGCAGCCGCGGUAAUACGUAGGGGGCAAGCGUUAUCCGGAUUUACUGGGUGUAAAGGGAGCGUAGACGGUUAUGUAAGUCUGGAGUGAAAGCCCGGGGCCCAACCCCGGGACUGCUUUGGAAACUGUGUAACUGGAGUACAGGAGGGGCAGGCGGAAUUCCUGGUGUAGCGGUGAAAUGCGUAGAUAUCAGGAGGAACACCGGCGGCGAAGGCGGCCUGCUGGACUGAAACUGACGUUGAGGCUCGAAAGCGUGGGGAGCAAACAGGAUUAGAUACCCCAGUAGUC